This 67-nucleotide transfer RNA is filed under the name Plesionika edwardsii. Its description in RNAcentral is "tRNA-Ser". The record is from RNAcentral. Lineage: Eukaryota; Metazoa; Arthropoda; Malacostraca; Decapoda; Pandalidae.
GGAGCAGGUAGUUCAAGAAAAAGCUUCUAACUUUCCUCUUAAGCGGUUAAAUUCCGUUUCUGCUCUU